UGCUACAGGUGUGCCAUCCGGAACACACCUGAUCUUAUCUGGUCUCAGAUGUUAAGCAGGGUUGGGCCACUGGGUGAUGCUAAUUACUGUAGCCA
RNAcentral lists this ribosomal RNA (95 nucleotides) under Oryzias melastigma (Indian medaka). The record is from RNAcentral. Lineage: Eukaryota; Metazoa; Chordata; Actinopteri; Beloniformes; Adrianichthyidae.